CUUAAAGGCUGACGUCUCGAAGCCCAGGUUUCGGGGUGAGCUGGAGAGGAUGAAGCCGAAGUCGAUGUGGAUGAUGUGACCUUCUGCGUCCAGAAGGAUGUUCCCGUUGUGUCUGAGGAAGGGAGGAGGAGGAGGCGACAUGACAUUUUUGGGGAUAAAUUAAAAAAUGCUUUCAUAUUUCACCUUUUAAAACUCAGAACAACAAAUUCCACUUAUUGGAAGUUCAUGCUGUUAGAAAUCCCCGAAGCACACUUAAUAAAAGGAGCUCUGGAUGUCCUAAAACUCACUCUGAGGACCAGGCUGGCCUUGAACUCACAGAGAUCUGCUUGCCUCCGCCUCCGGACUCCUGGGAUUAAAGGCGUGCGACACUGCCACUUGGUGAGUGUGUGUGAUUUUAUAACAAGUUGGAGCCUAGGCCUACAGCUGAUCAACACCAACAACUUUCUUUUCUUUAUAGCCUCCAUCUUGUGAGAUGAUUCCCAGUAUUCUUUUCUUUUCUUUUUUAAAAAAUUCCCUAUGUAGCUAGGAUGAUCUUGAACUUCCUGCCUGUACCUCCCAGUGUUAAUGUGUUAAAUGAGAGAUCAAACCCAGAGCAUCAUGCAUGCUAAGCAGAGUAUUCUUCAACCUGAGCUACAACACCAACUCACAUCCACUCUUUUUUAAUAGGAAUAGUUCACCAGGGGCUGGAGAGAUGGCUCAGGGGUUAAGAGCACUGGUUGUUCUUCCAGAGGACCCAGUUCAAUUCCCAGCACCCACAGAGUGGUUACCAACCAUCUGUAACUCUGUUCUCAAGGGACAGACGCUGUCUGGCUCUGCUGGGCACACUGCAGCUGGAGCACAGACACACAUGCAGGUAAACCUCGUCCAUCGGGGAAAACGGUUAGCAACUUCCUGCCAUACCAGAGGGACAGGCUUUUAUCCAACACUUUCUUUUGGUAGUGUUAUUUAUUAUCUGUUUUAUUAUUUUUACAUAUCAGUUUCUAAAAUGAAAUUCCUGAGAUCUAACUAGUGCUAGCUUCCCUGUUCCUCACUUACUCAAUCCUGUAGCUGAGCCCUGGGCUUCAAAAUCCUGGGUUCAAAAUCCCGAAGCUCAGGACAGUCUAAAGCUUGCCAUCAAGAUCCUUAUGGUUACACUCUUACCGCUCUCUCUCACACACACAGCCCUUCUUGCUUGGUAGGCCUGGCAGGGUGGAAUGACCAUGGGCUCCCAAAGCUGCUACUGACCCUUGGCUUCCUCAUGAGGGAGCACUCACUUCACACGGUUUUCACUUACUAUAGUGAUGCCAUGGUCAUAGGUGGUAUACAGUCACUAAAGAGAUAAUGCUAGAUUCCGAGAAGCUGCUUGCCUGACUAAUGUUAAUGGGUUGCCAUGUCACUGGAAGCCCUGGAAGCAGAGGCUGUCACAUUUCUAAAAUUAAUUUUUUUAGUGUUCCCAUGUGUGUAUGGUUGUAUGUGUGCACAUGCUCCAGAACAUGUCAGGGUGCACGUGUGGAGGCUAGGUGACAGCUCUGGAGUUGGUUCCAGUGACUGAGCAACAGCUUCAACCACUAAGCCAACCUGCCAGGGAGAGCUGCAGCCAACAGGAACAUUCAGGCCCCAGACCCCAAACCGCCUGCCUGGAGAUACUAAGACUGCAGAGCACAGGCAGUGCCGUUAUCAAGGCUUCACCUAUGUGAAGACGGGCUUCAUGAAAGUCAUCUGAGAGUGACAGAAUGACAGUCUCUGCAGAACAAAAGAUGCGUAAGACUGUGGAAACCAGGGACUGGGGAGAUGACUCACUGUUAAGGGCACUGGGCUCCUCCAGAGGAGGAGUUACUUUUUAGCACUCAUGAAGGCUUACAGCUACCUGUAACUCCAGUCCCAGAGGAUCCCAUGCUCUCCUAUGGCCUCCACUGGCACUAGGCAUACACAGACAUGCAGGAAAAACACCCAUGCACAUAAAAAACAGAAGUUUGAGAAAUCAGGUUGGAAUGAGAAGAGAGGAAAGCUUGUGACUGGGGAUUUCAAGUUUAUCUCCAUGGUCUCCCUCAUCCUUUCCUUUGUGUUUUGAGUCACUGACUACCUUUGUGCCAGGCUCCAUUAUCUUCUGCUUUCUUGUUAAGGAUGUAGUCACACUAACCUUCAAUUCACCCACAGCACCAUAUGGCAUCUACAGAUCAGAACAUAUCAUUCCUAUCCUGCAAAAUAAAAUUCUUGCUGAUUGUGGUAGCAAAGGCCUUUAAUCCCAACACUCAGGAGGCAGAGGCAGGAAGAUCUCUGUGAGCUCAAGACCAGCUUGGUUUACAUAUCAAGUUCCAGGACAGUCAGGGAUACAUAAAAUGACCCUUUCUCAAAAAACAAAAACAAAACCCCCAAAACUCUUCAGUCUCAUAAUGAAGGACUGGUGUCACUGCCUGCUCCCCGAGGUUUGAUCCCAAUGAAACGUUUCCUCAUCUUUCCUCCACAGCUCUAGCUGCCCUUGUUCUCCCUCACCCUUUUUCUGCUCAUUCAAGUCUUCCCUACGUCCUCUGUUUCCGCCCUCAUCUCCGCCAGCACUCAUCAUUUGGCUUAGUGUCACACAAACAAAUCUUUCCUAAAAAGACCUUGUUUCACCAACUGAGGAACUACAUGUGAAGGGACAGAGAAGACCCUUGUGAAAGAUUAGGAUGAAGGGCACAAGCCACUUACCUGUCCUUGACUUGCAGAAGGUAGCAGACCAAACAGUAGCCAGCACAACUUUGCACAAAGUUGCGCUGGGCACUGAGGAAUGCCUCAGUGGUAUAACUGCCAUGUUCCUGUAGGAAGUAAUCGAGCAAGGAGAGCUGUGACUGUUUCUUCACCUGGUGGAUGGACACAGCGUUGACUACUGGUUCAAUCAUGCCGCUGUCUGCUGAGAUCACAAGAAUCUUAUAUGGCUUGAUCCAGAGAGGCACCCGCUCCUGCUCCCAGAUGGACUGUGAAGAGACACAAAGGAUCCAGAGUGGCUCAUCUAUCUCCAGAGAAUAAUAAAAUUUCUUUCCCCUCAACCUCUCCCUUGGUAUCUUGAAGAGCAUUAAGCAAGACUCACUGACCUACUAAGAACCAGGAAGUUUUUUGAGACAGGGACUCAUAUAGCCCAGGCUAGACUUGACUUCCUGAUCCCCAUCUCUACACAUUCUAGGAUUACAGGUGUAUACAACCACAAACAACAGAACCAGGGAGUCUGAAAAGGAAGGACAGGGCCUGGCAAAGGGGAGAAACUAUACAUAGAGGUUAACGUAAGUUUGAACAACAACAACAACAAAAUUGGAGUUUUAGGGGCAGAGAAAGCAUCUCUAGAAAAUGAAAAUAUGGAGCUGGAGAGAUGGCUCAGUGGUUGAGAGCACUGCCUGCUCUUCCAGAGGACCUGGGUUCAAUUCCCAGCACCCACAUGGCAGCUCACACCUGUCUGUAACUCCAGUUCCAGAGCUUCUAACACCCCCACACAGCCAUGCAUGCAGGCAAAAUGCCAGUGCACAUAA
Molecule: non-coding RNA, 3479 nt
Organism: Peromyscus maniculatus bairdii (prairie deer mouse)
Lineage: Eukaryota; Metazoa; Chordata; Mammalia; Rodentia; Cricetidae
Source: RefSeq, a predicted model, not a curated record